UCCCACAGGUGCCUGGAUUAUGUUUGCAGCAGAUUCAGCCUUGUUCAGCAGGCCAAGGACGGUACAAUCUGUUUUAGAGGAAACUAUUGAUGGAUGCAUUGGAUUGAAGAGGCAAGAUGCAUCAUUUCACCUGCUUGGGACUGGAUGCAAAAGGUGAUUGAAAUGCACAGCAAAAUAUUAUUACUCGACAUCUUUUCAGAGCGUUGAGUAAUUUCAUUAAUCUUUUAAUAUUCUUUCAAUUUUCUUUUAAAUAUCUUUUAAUAUAUGCACUGAGAACUGAGGUAUCAAGAAGUUCCUUUUCUUGUUUGGUUUUGUUUUGUUUUUUUCCCCUAAGUUGGACCAGGGCUGCCUGACCUGACCACCCCACUCCACCUGGGUAAGGAGUGCGUGUCCCUGUCCCCAGCCCUCAUCCCGAAGCGGCUGCUCCCGGGAGGGGACGGGUUGAGCUACGGGCGAACACCUGGAUCCUGGAAAUACCUGGAGUCCGGGAACGGUACCGCAGGACACAGUGCCCGAAGUCAGGGCAUUGUGAACUGCUCUGGGAAUAAAGGCACUGCAGAAAUACACUGGGUUUUUUUUAGAUGAGUGUCAUUGCUUUAAUAGAAAGUACUUUAAAGAGGUUUCCGUAGCCUCUUCAGCGUGCAAAAUACAAAGCAAAACAAAAACCGCAAACAAAUCAAAGCACCCAAACUAUCGAGAAGAACCACCAUCAACAACGAGUGCUGUGUUGCGGUUCCUCUCCCCUCUCGCUCCCCCGAGGCCGCGGUGAGGGAGCGGCGCUGCCCGCGGGCUCGGCCGGCGGCGAUCGCCGCUCAGGACGGCUCUGCCCGGCGCUCUUUCCCUCCCUCGGGCGGGACUCCAGCUCACCCCGGCUGCCGCAGGUGCCCGGCGCCGCUCUCUGCCGCCCUGCCGGGGCCGGGCUCUGCUCUGCCCGGGCACCAGCGCCCGCCCUCCGCAGGAGUUUGAGGCCCAAGUUAAACAGUGACCAGUAUGCUCAGCAGCAGAGGAAGGAAGGCGUCUACAGCAAAUUGGUUCUGUGGCUGUCAUGAGCAGAUUGUCCAGGCCCCAGACAUUGCCUUUUGUUCCAUUCCAUUAUCUGAGAACAACUCGGACUUCGAAUCUGAAGGCCCUGAAUUAGGACUGGCCAGCACCAUGAGAACACCAGGAAGCUGUGCCUGGAUUUCACUGUGGUGGCAGGAAGCAGAAGUCAGUAGAGGACCAACAGACUUGACUCAAGAGGAAGAAAUUAAGCAAGAAGUUUUUGUCUAUGUUCCUGAAAAUAGCUUGGGGGAUUUCUUCGUUGGUGACUGAUAUCAAAAUGAUCUGCUUACAAAUCUGAGAAUAACAAGUAUACCAGCAUUAGAAGAGAAAUAAAAAACAUGUGUGCCUAUUCUGUCA
This 1398-nucleotide long non-coding RNA is filed under the name Cyanistes caeruleus (blue tit). Its description in RNAcentral is "lncRNA (ENSCCEG00000005069.1)". The record is from RNAcentral. Lineage: Eukaryota; Metazoa; Chordata; Aves; Passeriformes; Paridae.